RNAcentral lists this long non-coding RNA (1164 nucleotides) under Oryctolagus cuniculus (rabbit). Its description in RNAcentral is "lncRNA (ENSOCUG00000034918.1)". Lineage: Eukaryota; Metazoa; Chordata; Mammalia; Lagomorpha; Leporidae. The record is from RNAcentral.
AUGGGUGAGUGGGUAGGGGUCGGUGGGGCCCCUGGUCUUGGCCAGGCUCCCUCUGACUCUCUCUCCCUCUUCUCCAGUCCCAUCUGUGCCUGCUGGAGGCCACCCUCAGGUACAGGUGGCCAGAGACCACCUGGCAACUCCCAGUGGGCACCCUGGAGGCCGGAGGCCAGCUGGAGGCAGCCAGGCUGGGUGAGAGCACCAGGGACACGCCCUCGCCUGGUUGGGGGAAGAGGCACCCGUGCAGGAGCCUCCCCGGAGCCCGUGGGAGUGGGCUCUGGCCUGCGCCGUCCUCUCUUCUCCUUUUCUGAGCCUGGGGCUGUGGUUUGCGGCUCUGGCAGCUUCCGGACCGGGUCUGGAGGAAGAGGAAGGGCCGUGGUCUGGGAGAGGGCAGCCAGUGUGGAGGGAGACCCAGGACUGAGGUGUGCUCGUGUGAUGUGUGUGUACACAUGGGCAAAUGCCUGUACGUGUGUGCUGCUGCAUGGGUGUGUCCAUGGGUGUGAAUGUCCACGUGUGGAGGUGGGUGCGUGUGCAUGCACAUGUGUGCUUUUGUGUGCACGUGGGUUUGCAUGUGUGAGUGUGCUUGUGUGUAAUGCAUGCAUGGGUGUAUGCAUGUGUGAGUACAUGACUGUGUACACGUGUGCACGUGUGUGCAUGUGUCUGCAUGCAUCUGUGUACAUAGAAAUGCUUGUGUGGGCGUGCCUUGUAUGCACACAUAUGUGCGUGCUUGUGUGCUGUGUGCCUGCAGUGUACAUGUGUGUGUGUGAAUGUGCACAAGCAUGUGUCUGCACGCGUGUGUAUACACACGAACACGUAUAUGGGGGUGCCUGGUGCAUGCAUAUGUGCAUGUGUGUGCACUUGUGUGGUGCAUGGAAGCUGAUCCCCUUCCGUGGCAGUGCUGUCCCUGCCUGUCCUGGGCCCCUGCUGGCUGCUCUGUCCACUCGGUCUGUACACCAAGCACUCCCCUGCGCUGGGUCAGCAUGGGGGCAGCACAGCUGCACGGCUGCCUUCCUGACAGCAAGUCCGGGGGACGGUCCCUCCUGUGGCCCUAAUUCAGUCCCCAGAGAACUGACCGGGAGGAGGGCAAGACAGGCACUCCUGUGUCUGCCUGGCUGCCGGCUCAGGCAUUCCCAAACCUGGGAUGUGGUCCUGUCCUCUUUUGUCUAA